UACAGAGGUGGCAAGCGUUGUUCGGAAUUACUGGGCGUAAAGGGCGCGUAGGCGGCUUGGUCAGUCCCGUGUGAAAUCCCUCGGCUCAACUGAGGAACUGCACGGGAAACUGCCUGGCUUGAGUUCGGGAGAGGGAAGCGGAAUUCCGGGUAUAGCGGUGAAAUGCGUAGAUAUCCGGAGGAACACCGGUGGCGAAGGCGGCUUCCUGGACCGACACUGACGCUGAGGCGCGAAAGCUAGGGGAGCAAACGGG
This 253-nucleotide ribosomal RNA is filed under the name uncultured bacterium. Its description in RNAcentral is "partial 16S ribosomal RNA". It matches the Rfam family "Bacterial small subunit ribosomal RNA", at positions 524 to 776 of the family's 1533-position model. The record is from RNAcentral.